This 713-nucleotide long non-coding RNA is filed under the name Nicotiana benthamiana. Its description in RNAcentral is "long non-coding RNA (NBEN_LNC034962)". The record is from RNAcentral. Lineage: Eukaryota; Viridiplantae; Streptophyta; Magnoliopsida; Solanales; Solanaceae.
ACAUCUAUAACUUUCUUGUAACUGUUUUCUUAUAACAGAUUUAAAAAAGAAAAAUAAACACGAGGUUUUUAUUUAUAACCCGUUUCAAUAAUAAAUACGAGGUUUUUAUUUAUAACUCGUUUCAGUACAUUGCCUUUACCCUAACUAUGGUAGGAUUUUUCUUUAACCUUAGCUCGUGACUUUGCUCUUCAUUUGACUCAUUCAAUCAGUGAAUGUUUCAGGUUUGAUCUUUGAUUGUUUCCCAAUCUUCUUUGCCUUCUUUAUACACAUGCUCAUGUAUAUUAUAUAGUCCCCCAAGUGUUUGAGCGAUGAAGUAUGAAACCUAGAGCACUUGAUUGUUCCUCUCAUUUGGUCCUUUCUCUGAAAAGGAAAAACAUACAGGAGUCAGAGCUACGAUUAUAGGUGUAGACUGCUUAACCAGUUUGAAUUUUUAUCAGAAUAAUUAUAACCCAAGGCCAGGAAGUUUAAUUUAUUCCACGUAACUUGCAGGUCGUGACUCAUCAUUUAGUACAGGUUAGCUUUUUGUCUAUCAUCUACAAUCGUUAGUAAAAUUUUAAUAAUUCAAAAAUAUGGAUACCUGGCCGUGGAUAUUCCUUAAAAGUAGUAUUUCUUCAGAUGAACAUCAUUUUAAUGUGAAGGUAGUAUCUUGCCAUCCAUUGUUUCCAGCUCGUAUGCUCCUUUUCCUGCAAUAUCAUGAAUUCUAUAGGGUCAUU